RNAcentral lists this long non-coding RNA (4091 nucleotides) under Anolis carolinensis (green anole). RNAcentral's name for it is "lncRNA (ENSACAG00000035962.1)". The record is from RNAcentral. Lineage: Eukaryota; Metazoa; Chordata; Lepidosauria; Squamata; Anolidae.
AUGAUUGAGCCUCAUGGCUCUGUUACUGACAGACGUGGGCGUAAGACUCCUCGAGAGUCAGAUACUCUCGAGGAGCGAGAAAGAAAAAGACUGCGAGACAUUUUUGCAGCACCAUCUGACGAAGAGUCUUUUGAGGGGUUUACGGAGAGAAUGGAGGAGGGGCUGGUUAGCUCGGAGGAGGAUGAGAUGGAUUGGACUCGGGUGAGGGAGGAAUUGGGUGCCACUGGCCAUGAUGGGGCACGGCACCAGAUCGUGGUCAGAUCUGAUCACAAGAAUUUAGAGCACUUGCAAACAGCAAAGAAGUUAAACCAGCGUCAAAUCCGAUGGGCUUUGUUUUUCUCCAGGUUUAACUUCAAGGUGCAGUUCGUAGAGGGGAAGGCAAACUUGCGGGCCGAUGCUUUAUCCCGCAAGCCGGAGUUUAAGACCAAUGAGCAGGUUGUAUGUCAGACCAUCUUGCCUACUGCCUCUCUGUGUGUUGUAGAUAAUGAGCUCGGGUUACAUGACCAGAUCCUUGAGGCUCAGAGGGAUGAUGUGUGGACACAGGAGCAACUGAUGCUGCUCUCAGCAGGUAAUCGUACCAUACUGCCGCAUCUACAAGAUCAAGACGGAGUAUUGGUACGCAGGGGGCAGGUCUACGUACCAGUGGGGGCCCUCAGGUUGGAGGUGAUUAGAGCCCACCAUGACGAACCCAUGGCUGGGCACUUUGGCAGAUUCAAGACCGUGCAGCUCAUUACCAGGAGCUAUUGGUGGCCAAAGAUGCGGCAAGACAUUCUGCGCUUUUGUGACAGCUGCGCCGUUUGCCAGCAGAGUAAGACGCCUGUUGGGCGCCCUAGAGGGUUGUUGUCGUCUCUACCUGUUCCUGAGAGGCCAUGGCAAAUCAUUUCCAUGGAUUUUAUUUCGGAUUUGCCUAAGUCUGGGGGUUAUACUUGUAUUUGGGUGGUGGUGGAUUUAUUUAGCAAACUGGCUCAUUUUAUUCCUUGUUCAACCAUUCCGGCGGCCCCUACGUUGGCUUUACUAUUUACUAAGCACAUCUAUCGUUUGCACGGAGCACCCGAAGUGAUUAUUUCGGAUAGGCUCCGCAAUUUGUGUCACGCUUUUGGAAACACUUCCAUGAGUGCUUAGGACUAAGUGANNNNNNNNNNNNNNNNNNNNNNNNNNNNNNNNNNNNNNNNNNNNNNNNNNNNNNNNNNNNNNNNNNNNNNNNNNNNNNNNNNNNNNNNNNNNNNNNNNNNCGCAACGGAUGGACAGUCGGAACGGGUUAAUGGGCUCUUAGAGCAGUAUUUGCGUUGUUUUUGUUUAGAUCAACCCACGGCUUGGGUGAAGUGGUUACCGGUGGCGGAGUUCGCUUACAACAAUGCGGUGCACACGUCUAGUCAGCAUACGCCAUUUGAGCUAACUUAUGGUUUUCACCCACGGGGAGGUGUGGCGCCGUCGACCAAUGUGGUCUCUUCGGACCCUGUGUACCGCUCUUCGGAAAUGGCUGCAUUGCAUGAUGUUGCCCGUCGCUUACUGUUGGAAGCUAAGGCAACGCAAAAGACUCAGGCUGACCGCCACAGGCAGGCAGGGGAGGAGUUGGAAGAAGGGGAUUUGGUGUGGUUAUCUUCCAAACAUAUUAAACAGGCUGGGGGAAAGUUUGCGCCUCGGUAUUUGGGUCCCUUUCCUAUCGUUAAAAAGAUUUCUUCCGUUGCGUUUCGUUUGCGUUUACCAUCUAGUUUAAAGGUCCAUCCAGUCUUCCAUCGUUCGCUGUUGAAACUAGAUACCUCCAGUCGUCGUGGUGCUAUAGCGGAGGGUAUCACUGCCACUUCUCCGCCAUCGGGGGAGGAGGCCUUUGUGAGAGGGGAUAGUGUUAUGAUUGAGCCUCAUGGCUCUGUUACUGACAGACGUGGGCGUAAGACUCCUCGAGAGUCAGAUACUCUCGAGGAGCGAGAAAGAAAAAGACUGCGAGACAUUUUUGCAGCACCAUCUGACGAAGAGUCUUUUGAGGGGUUUACGGAGAGAAUGGAGGAGGGGCUGGUUAGCUCGGAGGAGGAUGAGAUGGAUUGGACUCGGGUGAGGGAGGAAUUGGGUGCCACUGGUAAUGAUGGGAUAGAAGAUGAAUGGGGACCUUCAGGAUUAGACCCAUGGUCAAGCUGGAGGGAUGGGACGGGAUCCACAGCUGGAGAUGCUGUGGGGCGUAGUCAGAGGUGUUCCAGCUCUGAUGAGGAAAGUGAUGAGGAAACGCCCGGGUUAAGGAGGACAGCUGACAGUGAUGAGGAUUUGUAACUGGCAUAAAAUGGGGCUUGGGAGCAAUUGCAAAUUGCGUUGGGCAAGGUAAUCUGGACGAACGCUUGGGAUCUGUGUGGGACGCUUUCCUGAAGACUGGUGUGUUUUCGUGUGCUGAUACGUAAGUUGUUUUGGAAUUCAGGGUCAGACAGCGGGAGGAAUUGUGUGGGCAUUUGUUUGUGCAAACCUGUGCUUACUCUUAUUAGCUUGACCUUCCGUCGUCUUCUUGACGGACGCCAUCUCCUGCUUUGAAAUUCGGACUGAACUUACCACGGCUUGACUUCCCCCUUCUUGGACUUGGAAACUACAAACGUCUGCUUCUGGCUUUGAUCUACGGAAAGGAACUGGGUCUACUCUACUGCUACAAUCCUUGGCUGAUCUGUUCGUGUUGGAAAUCCUGUCUGCUGUGUGUGUGGGAGCGACGCAAGUUACUCUAAGCACAGUGUUGGCAGCAGAGAGGAAUCUGCUGCCAAUUAGUUGCAUUCUUUUGUAUCUUUUGUUCCUCGGCUUUUGUUUUGUUUAUCCCCAGGCUGAAGCAAGCAGUUUGUUUUUACCCGGAUUAAACUCCGGUUUAAUCCGGUUAAUCUUUUGAACGUUUUUUCUUGUCCCUUUUUGCUCCUAAAGGCUAAUACUGCCUGGCCCUUGUAUUUUACGGGCAUUUUUGAGUUCUGUAAUUCAAUAAACUCUGUUAUCUUGAAUCUUGUGGCGUUCUGUCCUUGACAGAUUGCCCAACGCCAUAAAAAGUUUAUUGCAGUAAUAAACCCGUCAGGAAGACGAUGGAGGAGUUAAGGGCCAAAUUUGAGCAAUUACAAACGGCUUUUACCGUCAGUCAAGCAGCUCAUGCUGUGAAAGGACAUGUUUUGACUCCUGAACGCUUUGACGGAACCAGGUGCAAGUUGCCAACCUUUUUGGCACAAGUGGAGCUUUAUUUUUCCCAGCUCAGUGCUCAUGCUUUUCCUACAGACACUAGCAAGGUGGCAUUUAUUUUGAGUUUGUUGACCGGUCCCGCAGGACAAUGGGCCACUAACUUAAUUUUGGGAAAUGACCCAGUCAAGGACAAUUUGAAUAAUUUCAAAAAGUUAUUAACUGACACUUUUGGGGAUCCUCUCCGCACGGAGAAUGCUGGGUGGGCUCUGUAUCGUUUGAAACAGGGAAAGGGGACUGUUUUGGAUUACUUAAAUAAGUUUAACUUGUAUCGCCACCAGCUGGAUUGGGGGGAAAAUGCAUUCAUGCUUUUAUUUACUGCUGGGUUAAGUGAUAUGCUCCAGGAUGAAUUAGCACGCUUGGAGCCGGCUGAAAAUUGGGACGCCUUAGUAGCUAAGGUGCUGCGUUUGGACGCAAGGUUCAAGGCUCGUAAACACUCGAAAGCAAUGUGUGCGCCACCCAUGCAUGUAACCAGGGCACCUGUGGUGAUGGGGGAAGAGCCUAUGGAGCUUGGGGUCUUUAAAAAGCUGUCUACAGAGGAAAAGAGCCGUAGGAGGCAGCUGGGGUUGUGUUUGUACUGUGGGAAUGCUGGGCAUUUUGCCAAAGACUGUAAUGUAAAACCUUCUCAGCUUUCGGGAAAAGGCCAGCCCUAGUGCGACGUGAGUCCAACGCACUAGGGCUCCUCAAGCAGUCAACUGAGGGGAGGAAGCAUGUUUUCGUACCCAUUACAUUAUCUGUUGGGGGAAGGGAACUUGUUUCUACUUUGGCACUGCUGGACUCAGGGGCUACGGUCUCUUAUGUAGAUAUUGAGUUUGCUAAGAAGCAUGGCAUUCCUAGAGUGCGCAAGGCAUGCGACGUGUGGGUGGAAGGAGCAGAUGGGAGACUGCUGGAGACUGGGGUGGUUA